This is a long non-coding RNA of Drosophila miranda, 1418 nucleotides long. RefSeq lists it as uncharacterized. The transcript has 3 exons. NCBI's taxonomy places the organism in Eukaryota, Metazoa, Arthropoda, Insecta, Diptera, Drosophilidae. The record is from RefSeq and is a predicted model, not a curated record.
UUUUUUUUUGUUUCGGACGGCCAUUUGCAAGUUAAUAUAACAAGAGUGCCAAUCGCCACAUAGCGAAUUGGCACGUUGUGCCAAGCAGAUUUCCAAGGGAGAAUAGCGGAAAAAGAUAAUUGGGAUCGAUGACCGAGCCGGCCGCAGCCACAACCAGCUGGCCAUAGAAAGGGAAGAGAAGAGACUGCGCUCCCGAAAAAAAAAAAAGCACAAGAACCGAUCGAAUUCGCCGCUGGCGCAGAGAAGCGCAAGGCAGAGAGUCCGCCGCUCCAGCUGUGGGUCCGACUCAGUGCAUCAGCAGCAUCGUCGGCGCCGGGAAGCUGCGAAACUAAAAGCGGAAUAUUGAACAUUUUUUUUUUGGCCCCCAAGUUUUUUUGCGUAAAUAUCUUGCCCUCGGCCGACCUGGCUUAGUGAAAAAAAGGUAGAGGAAAUAAAAACCCAGAUCAAAAUUAUACCCAUGAGCCAAUAGGCAAGGUCUUACAAUUAUAGCAAGCGGAUCGUCUUCGACAAAAGCGCUUUUGGAGAUGGAUGGCACGUAAGUGAAAGAAUAUUGCUUUACUCUAAAUAAAUUGCAUGCAUGAGCGUGAGAGAAGGAGAGGUAUGGGAAAGAAAGAAGGGGAGAGGUAUACAGUUGGGCAGAUCCACAUGCCGGAAGAGAUAGCAAGAACAGUAACCAUGGGUUUUUUGUUGUUGUCACAAAUGCUCUGUUAAAUUUGUAUGCCAGUUUAGCGGCUACCUCCUAUAUACAUAUACUGUUUUUUUAUUAUAUACACAUUUAAUUCUUUUUUUUCUAUUUAGUUAUAAUUCUUCUAUUUUAAUUAUUAUUAGUAUUAUUUUAAUUUCCAACCUGGAAUAUUCUCGAAUCCUGUUGUUCGCUAAAAUAGUUAUUGAGUCAAUUGGGAGUUUAAGUAGAGUAGGGAAAUGCCCCUGUGUCAAGUAAUAAAUAAGUUUUAAAAUGAAAUCGAUAAUGAACUAAAUUAUUUUAGGGCGCCAUGCCGAGUGGAUUAUGGAAAUGAAGUGAGUCUGGGGGAUUUAGGGAUCAUCGGCCACUAAUAUGGCUUUGCGGCCCAGAUGGUCAAGGUAGGGUGGGCAAAACGCUGCUACACCUACAGCUACUCAGCAGCACAACCCGUACUUCAGCAUGUUCUGUUUUCUUUGCAGAGCAACCUCUAUGUGUGCAUAGCUUGUCACUCUUGGUAGUUUCUUUUCUGUAUGGCCAGUCCGAUCGAUCAUGUGUUAGGGAGGAAAACAGCACGCGAAAUCAAUAUUAUUAUAUGUAUCCAAUGCGAGCAGGUAGCACAGUGGUAAAUCCUCACCCCCCCCUUGCCGACGACAAAUAGAAGCCGGAACCAGCGCGUGCUCCUCUGGUCGCUACAAUAAGAUCAGCUCGUUAUGAUAGCGUAUCGCUAUACGUUGUA